AGGACGAACGCUGGCAGCGUGCCUAAUACAUGCAAGUCGAGCGGAGUUGAUGAGGUGCUUGCACCUCUGAUGCUUAGCGGCGGACGGGUGAGUAACACGUAGGUAACCUGCCCUCAAGACUGGGAUAACAUUCGGAAACGAAUGCUAAGACCGGACACGCAGUUUGGUUGCAUGACUGGACUGGGAAACACGGAGCAAUCUGUGGCUUGAGGAUGGGCCCGCGGCGCAUUAGCUAGUUGGUGGGGUAACGGCUCACCAAGGCGACGAUGCGUAGCCGACCUGAGAGGGUGAACGGCCACACUGGGACUGAGACACGGCCCAGACUCCUACGGGAGGCAGCAGUAGGGAAUCUUCCACAAUGGGCGCAAGCCUGAUGGAGCAACGCCGCGUGAGUGAGGAAGGCCUUCGGGUCGUAAAGCUUUGUUGCCAGGGAAGAAUAAGAGCCAGUUAACUGCUGGUUCGAUGACGGUACCUGGGAAGAAAGCCCCGGCUAACUACGUGCCAGCAGCCGCGGUAAUACGUAGGGGGCAAGCGUUGUCCGGAAUUAUUGGGCGUAAAGCGCGCGCAGGCGGUUCAUUAAGUCUGGUGUAUAAGUGCGGGGCUCAACCCCGUGAGGCACUGGAAACUGGGGAACUUGAGUGCAGAAGAGGAGAGCGGAAUUCCACGUGUAGCGGUGAAAUGCGUAGAGAUGUGGAGGAACACCAGUGGCGAAGGCGGCUCUCUGGACUGUAACUGACGCUGAGGCGCGAAAGCGUGGGGAGCAAACAGGAUUAGAUACCCUGGUAGUCCACGCCGUAAACGAUGAGUGCUAGGUGUUGGGGGUAUCAUGCCCUCGGUGCCGAAGUUAACACAUUAAGCACUCCGCCUGGGGAGUACGGUCGCAAGACUGAAA
Molecule: ribosomal RNA, 892 nt
Filed under: uncultured bacterium
Lineage: Bacteria
Description: bacterial SSU rRNA
Rfam family: Bacterial small subunit ribosomal RNA
Source: RNAcentral